This 468-nucleotide ribosomal RNA is filed under the name uncultured bacterium. RNAcentral's name for it is "partial 16S ribosomal RNA". It matches the Rfam family "Bacterial small subunit ribosomal RNA", at positions 28 to 507 of the family's 1533-position model. The record is from RNAcentral.
GACGAACGCUGGCGGCGUGCUUAACACAUGCAAGUCGAACGGAAAGGCCCUGCUUUUGUGGGGUGCUCGAGUGGCGAACGGGUGAGUAACACGUGAGUAACCUGCCCUUGACUUUGGGAUAACUUCAGGAAACUGGGGCUAAUACCGGAUAGGAGCUCCUGCUGCAUGGUGGGGGUUGGAAAGUUUCGGCGGUUGGGGAUGGACUCGCGGCUUAUCAGCUUGUUGGUGGGGUAGUGGCUUACCAAGGCUUUGACGGGUAGCCGGCCUGAGGGGGUGACCGGCUACAUUGGGACUGGGAUACGGCCCGAACUCCUACGGGAGGCAGCAGUGGGGAAUAUUGCACAAUGGGCGGAAGCCUGAUGCAGCAACGCCGCGUGCGGGAUGACGGCCUGCGAGUUGUAAACCGCUUUCGCCUGUGACGAAGCGUGAGUGACGGUAAUGGGUAAAGAAGCACCGGCUAACUACGUG